CGGGAUUGGCAUGGGCGAAAGCCUGAUCAGCCUGCCGCGUGUGUGAAGAAGGCCUUUUGGUUGUAAAGCACUUUAAGCGAGGAGGAGGCUACUUGGAUUAAUACUCUAGGAUAGUGGACGUUACUCGCAGAAUAAGCACCGGCUAACUCUGUGCCAGCAGCCGCGGUAAUACAGAGGGUGCGAGCGUUAAUCGGAUUUACUGGGCGUAAAGCGUGCGUAGGCGGCUUUUUAAGUCGGAUGUGAAAUCCCUGAGCUUAACUUAGGAAUUGCAUUCGAUACUGGGAAGCUAGAGUAUGGGAGAGGAUGGUAGAAUUCCAGGUGUAGCGGUGAAAUGCGUAGAGAUCUGGAGGAAUACCGAUGGCGAAGGCAGCCAUCUGGCCUAAUACUGACGCUGAGGUACGAAAGCAUG
RNAcentral lists this ribosomal RNA (409 nucleotides) under uncultured bacterium. RNAcentral describes it as "bacterial SSU rRNA". It matches the Rfam family "Bacterial small subunit ribosomal RNA", at positions 356 to 763 of the family's 1533-position model. The record is from RNAcentral.